Molecule: ribosomal RNA, 1314 nt
Filed under: unidentified marine bacterioplankton
Lineage: Bacteria
Description: bacterial SSU rRNA
Rfam family: Bacterial small subunit ribosomal RNA
Source: RNAcentral
GAGUUUGAUCAUGGCUCAGGAUGAACGCUGGCGGCGUGCUUAACACAUGCAAGUCGAACGAACCUUCGGGUUAGUGGCGGACGGGUGAGUAACGCGUGAGAAUCUGCCCUCAGGAGGGGGAUAACGGUUGGAAACGACCGCUAAUACCCCAUAUGCCUAAUGGUGAAACGAAUUUCGCCUGAGGAUGAGCUCGCGUCUGAUUAGCUAGUUGGUGAGGUAAUGGCUCACCAAGGCUUCGAUCAGUAGCUGGUCUGAGAGGAUGAUCAGCCACACUGGGACUGAGACACGGCCCAGACUCCUACGGGAGGCAGCAGUGGGGAAUUUUCCGCAAUGGGCGAAAGCCUGACGGAGCAACGCCGCGUGAGGGACGAAGGCCUCUGGGCUGUAAACCUCUUUUCUCAAGGAAGAAGAUAUGACGGUACUUGAGGAAUAAGCCACGGCUAAUUCCGUGCCAGCAGCCGCGGUAAUACGGGAGUGGCAAGCGUUAUCCGGAAUUAUUGGGCGUAAAGCGUCCGCAGGCGGCUUUUCAAGUCUGCUGUUAAAGCGUGGAGCUUAACUCCAUCAUGGCAGUGGAAACUGAAAGGCUUGAGUAUGGUAGGGGCAGAGGGAAUUCCCGGUGUAGCGGUGAAAUGCGUAGAUAUCGGGAAGAACACCAGUGGCGAAGGCGCUCUGCUGGGCCAUUACUGACGCUCAUGGACGAAAGCCAGGGGAGCGAAAGGGAUUAGAUACCCCUGUAGUCCUGGCCGUAAACGAUGAACACUAGGUGUCGGGGGAAUCGACCCCUUCGGUGUCGUAGCUAACGCGUUAAGUGUUCCGCCUGGGGAGUACGCACGCAAGUGUGAAACUCAAAGGAAUUGACGGGGGCCCGCACAAGCGGUGGAGUAUGUGGUUUAAUUCGAUGCAACGCGAAGAACCUUACCAGGGUUUGACAUCCUGCGAACCUCUUAGAAAUUUGAGGGUGCCUUCGGGAAUGCAGUGACAGGUGGUGCAUGGCUGUCGUCAGCUCGUGUCGUGAGAUGUUGGGUUAAGUCCCGCAACGAGCGCAACCCACGUUUUUAGUUGCCAGCAUUUAGUUGGGCACUCUAGAAAGACCGCCGGUGAUAAACCGGAGGAAGGUGUGGAUGACGUCAAGUCAUCAUGCCCCUUACACCCUGGGCUACACACGUACUACAAUGCUACGGACAAAGGGCAGCAAACUCGCGAGAGCUAGCAAAUCCCAUAAACCGUGGCUCAGUUCAGAUCGUAGGCUGCAACUCGCCUACGUGAAGUAGGAAUCGCUAGUAAUCGCAGGUCAGCAUACUGCGGUGAAUACGU